This 506-nucleotide ribosomal RNA is filed under the name uncultured bacterium. Its description in RNAcentral is "partial 16S ribosomal RNA". It matches the Rfam family "Bacterial small subunit ribosomal RNA", at positions 29 to 523 of the family's 1533-position model. The record is from RNAcentral.
AGUGAACGCUGGCGGUAGGCCUAACACAUGCAAGUCGAACGGCAGCACAGGAGAGCUUGCUCUCUGGGUGGCGAGUGGCGGACGGGUGAGGAAUACAUCGGAAUCUACUCUGUCGUGGGGGAUAACGUAGGGAAACUUACGCUAAUACCGCAUACGACCUACGGGUGAAAGCAGGGGACCUUCGGGCCUUACGCGAUUGAAUGAGCCGAUGUCGGAUUAGCUAGUUGGCGGGGUAAAGGCCCACCAAGGCGACGAUCCGUAGCUGGUCUGCGAGGAUGAUCAGCCACACUGGAACUGAGACACGGUCCAGACUCGUACGUGAGGCAGCGGUGGGGAAUAUUGGACAAUGGGCGCAACCCUGAUCCAGCCAUACCGCGUGGGUGAAGAAGGCCUUCGGGUUGUAAAGCCCUUUUGUUGGGAAAGAAAUCCAGCUGGCUAAUACCCGGUUGGGAUGACGGUACCCAAAGAAUAAGCACCGGCUAACUUCGUGCCAGCCGCCGCCGUAA